RNAcentral lists this ribosomal RNA (391 nucleotides) under uncultured bacterium. Its description in RNAcentral is "bacterial SSU rRNA". It matches the Rfam family "Bacterial small subunit ribosomal RNA", at positions 30 to 424 of the family's 1533-position model. The record is from RNAcentral.
AUUGAACGCUGGCGGCAUGCCUUACACAUGCAAGUCGAACGGCAGCACGGGAGCAAUCCUGGUGGCGAGUGGCGAACGGGUGAGUAAUAUAUCGGAACGUGCCCGGUCGUGGGGAUAACGUAGCGAAAGCUACGCUAAUACCGCAUACGAUCUACGGAUGAAAGCGGGGGAUCGCAAGACCUCGCGCGAUUGGAGCGGCCGAUAUCAGAUUAGGUAGUUGGUGAGGUAAAGGCUCACCAAGCCGACGAUCUGUAGCUGGUCUGAGAGGACGACCAGCCACACUGGGACUGAGACACGGCCCAGACUCCUACGGGAGGCAGCAGUGGGAAUUUUGACAAUGGCGCAAGCCUGAUCCAGCAAUGCCGCGUGCAGGAUGAAGGCCUUCGGUGUU